RNAcentral lists this ribosomal RNA (253 nucleotides) under uncultured bacterium. RNAcentral describes it as "partial 16S ribosomal RNA". It matches the Rfam family "Bacterial small subunit ribosomal RNA", at positions 524 to 776 of the family's 1533-position model. The record is from RNAcentral.
UACGUAGGGGGCGAGCGUUAUCCGGAUUCACUGGGUGUAAAGGGAGCGUAGACGGCCAUGCAAGCCAGGGGUGAAAGCCCGGGGCCCAACCCCGGGACUGCCCUUGGAACUGCAUGGCUGGAGUGCGGGAGGGGCAGGCGGAACUCCCGGUGUAGCGGUGAAAUGCGUAGAUAUCAGGAGGAACACCGGCGGCGAAGGCGGCCUGCUGGACCGCGACUGACGUUGAGGCUCGAAAGCGUGGGGAGCGAACAGG